Molecule: ribosomal RNA, 109 nt
Organism: Microcebus murinus (gray mouse lemur)
Lineage: Eukaryota; Metazoa; Chordata; Mammalia; Primates; Cheirogaleidae
Source: Ensembl
GUCUAUGAACAUACCACCCUGAACAUAUCCAAUCUCCUCUGAUCUCAGAAGCUAAGCAGACUCGGGCCUGGUUAGUUCUUGGAUGGGAGAAUUUUUGCACCUAUAUUUA